Molecule: ribosomal RNA, 311 nt
Filed under: soil fungal sp. DM047
Lineage: Eukaryota; Fungi
Description: partial 28S rRNA
Rfam family: Eukaryotic large subunit ribosomal RNA
Source: RNAcentral
CUGGAACGGGACGNCUUAGAGGGUGAGAGCCCCGUACGNUUGGACGCCUAGCCUCUGUAAAGCUCCUUCAACGAGUCGAGNAGUUUGGGAAUGCUGCUCAAAAUGGGAGGUAAAUUUCUUCUAAAGCUAAAUACCGGCCAGAGACCGAUAGCGCACAAGUGGAGUGAUCGAAAGAUGAAAAGCACUUUGAAAAGAGGNUUAAAUAGCACGGGAAAUUGUUGAAAGGGAANNGUUUAUGACCGGACUUUUUCCUAGGGGAUCAUCCGGUGUUCUCACCGGUGCNCUUCGCUAGGUUUAGCCCAGCAUCGGUU